Molecule: long non-coding RNA, 2076 nt
Filed under: Homo sapiens (human)
Lineage: Eukaryota; Metazoa; Chordata; Mammalia; Primates; Hominidae
Description: HSALNT0246984
Source: RNAcentral
GUAAAUUGAAAAACCUUGAAAUGAAUGCUACUGAUGGAUUUGCUGAAUGAACCUCUGUGCUCUGGUUUGAUUCACAAGGCAUCGGGACUCUCAAGGGCACUUUUAUCUGCAGGGAAUCUGCAAUUCCAGUGUAAAAGGGGACCAAGAGGGCUGCUAGCCGCUUGCACAGAUGAUCUCAUUUAACCCAUGAGGGUGUCUCCCAGAACUGGAUCUCCAUCUGCAGGCUGGUACUAACCCUCACAGGCAGAAGGACUAACUUCAAUGUUCGGAGACAAAAUGGAUACAGGCAGGCCUAAAGGCCCUAAUUCUGAGGCGUAUCACAUUCAUGCUGCUGCUCGCUGAUUCUAAUAUGGGCUCUUGUCCUAGUCCCAUAAUGCUGGCCUCACCAUAUACUCCAUUUCUGGAAUCAGAUCCACAGUGUAUUCUCUGUUCCGGUGGCCCAGAUUCGGAAAAGUGCCCAUAACACCACUCCCCAGGGACACCUGCUGCUGAAUUCUGACUCCGGCAUCGGCCAGGGUGCUCCAUUCUACCAGGAUUAACUGUUUCACAGCCUUUCCAUUUGAGCUCAGAAUCAUUUAACCAAAGCACAAGUGAUCCACUUUUAAUUAUGAUACUGACAGGAAAUCCAAUAUAGGGGAGAGAACAUGGUGAGUUUGAAGCAUUCUGCCUGGUAUACUGUGACAUCUGAACAAAUUUGUAUUGAUGAUUUGGACAGGAUUUUAAAAGUAAUAAUCGGAGAACUAAACCAUCUUGAACUAUGAAGUUCAAAAACAGAUAAAGUUAAUUUAUCGUGAUAGAAGUCAGGAAAAAUAGUUACCUCUUGGGAGAGAGUCUUACUGAUUAGAAAGGAGCAAGAAGAAACUUUUGAGGUAAAGUAAAACGCGUUAUAUCUCACCUUGAUCUGGUUAGUGGUUAUACUUAAUAUUUGAGCAUUGUGCUGCAUGUAAAUUACCUCAAUUUUCCAAGCACAAAAAUAAAAGAGGAUAGACAAGAUUUUGAGAACGGAUUCAUUUUAUCUGUUCCUGCUUUUCAAACACAACUAUCCUUAACCACUAAAGACAGAUGAACAUCUGUACAGAAAUGGCUUUUCCUCUACAAAAGCAAAUAUUCUUACCUCUCACCGUCAAAUCCUACUAUUAAUAGUUUUAUUUGGUGAAAAGCAGAAUUAUUUAUUUAGGGUCAAAAAAGGACAAAUUUUUCAAACAUUUUCUUCUGUGAUCUAAAAAAGGAAGCAUAACUAGUAGGAAUUAACAAAGGGCAAGGCCUAAAUUCACCUACAUUUUUGUAAUUGAAAAUUGAUUACAUUAAGUCGUCAACAAUGACGCCGUUUAGUGUUGCUUGGCUGUCUGCCUAAGCAUUGGUUAGUAAAAGAAUGGUUUUGAAACAAAGUUACCACAUUAUUAUAACCUCUUUAUGCUCUUUUAAUUUUUCUCCUCAUGAUACUUUUGUCCUCCACCUCAGGCUUUAAAUGUUGCUCAUUUCUUAUAUUGUAAAUUAAAUACUGCAUUUUAACCUCUGAAAUAUAAAUUAUUGUGAAAAUUCAGUAAUUCAGUAAGAAUAAUUACCAGCCGUGAAAUAUAUUAACUGCCACAUACCUACUAUAUAGAACUGAAUAAGGUCAACUAAUUAACUUUCCUUGUGGGUGUCAUUCAGAAAUGACUAAGGGGUGAAAUCAUGUUAAGCUAAAAUAAGUCGAGACAAUGAAUUGCUUAAUGGUGUCUGAGCUGAAUUCUGAUUGCCUGUGUAAACAAUUCAUCAAUCUUACCAUCUUCUAGGGACUUGGGGGAAAUCAUUCCCUAUCCCCUGACACAAAAUAAAUAUGAAAAAGUUCAACUGUAAGUUUCUGGUUUUCAAGUACACUAAACAACAGAAAAUUGAAAUGAAUUCUCACUUAUUCUCAAAAUUGGAUUUUGUCACAAGAUGACAUGUUAUAUUUAGCGUAUAACAAGCUAUUGGCUGGGUUUGGUGAAGACUGUUCCAGCAAUUACAAGAUUUAAUUUUUAAGGGACUUAUUCUCUGUCUCCCCAUCUCUGUCCAAAAAAUAAAGUAAGGUUUGGUCCUAAAGUGAAAAUCUGG